CUUAUAUUCUGUAGCAAGGUUAACCGUAUAGGGGAGCCGAAGGGAAACCGAGUCUUAACUGGGCGUUAAGUUGCAGGGUAUAGACCCGAAACCCGGUGAUCUAGCCAUGGGCAGGUUGAAGGUUGGGUAACACUAACUGGAGGACCGAACCGACUAAUGUUGAAAAAUUAGCGGAUGACUUGUGGCUGGGGGUGAAAGGCCAAUCAAACCGGGAGAUAGCUGGUUCUCCCCGAAAGCUAUUUAGGUAGCGCCUCGUGAACUCAUCUUCGGGGGUAGAGCACUGUUUCGGCUAGGGGGUCAUCCCGACUUACCAACCCGAUGCAAACUGCGAAUACCGAAGAAUGUUAUCACGGGAGACACACGGCGGGUGCUAACGUCCGUCGUGAAGAGGGAAACAACCCAGACCGCCAGCUAAGGUCCCAAAGUCACAGUUAAGUGGGAAACGAUGUGGGAAGGCUCAGACAGCCAGGAUGUUGGCUUAGAAGCAGCCAUCAUUUAAAGAAAGCGUAAUAGCUCACUGGUCGAGUCGGCCUGCGCGGAAGAUGUAACGGGGCUAAACUGUGCACCGAAGCUGCGGCAGCGACGCUUAUGCGUUGUUGGGUAGGGGUGCGUUCUGUAAGCCUGCGAAGGUGUCCUGUGAGGGAUGCUGGAGGUAUCAGAAGUGCGAAUGCUGACAUAAGUAACGAUAAUGCGGGUGAAAAGCCCGCUCGCCGGAAGACCAAGGGUUCCUGUCCAACGUUAAUCGGGGCAGGGUGAGUCGACCCCUAAGGCGAGGCCGAAAGGCGUAGUCGAUGGGAAACGGGUUAAUAUUCCCGUACUUGGUGUUACUGCGAAGGGGGGACGGAGAAGGCUAUGUUGGCCGGGCGACGGUUGUCCCGGUUUAAGCGUGUAGGCUGGUUUUCCAGGCAAAUCCGGAAAAUCAAGGCUGAGGCGUGAUGACGAGGCACUACGGUGCUGAAGCAACAAAUGCCCUGCUUCCAGGAAAAGCCUCUAAGCAUCAGGUAACAUCAAAUCGUACCCCAAACCGACACAGGUGGUCAGGUAGAGAAUACCAAGGCGCUUGAGAGAACUCGGGUGAAGGAACUAGGCAAAAUGGUGCCGUAACUUCGGGAGAAGGCACGCUGACACGUAGGUGAAGUGAUUUACUCA
RNAcentral lists this ribosomal RNA (1149 nucleotides) under Salmonella enterica subsp. enterica serovar Kentucky. RNAcentral's name for it is "partial 23S ribosomal RNA". It matches the Rfam family "Bacterial large subunit ribosomal RNA", at positions 627 to 1773 of the family's 2925-position model. The record is from RNAcentral. Lineage: Bacteria; Pseudomonadati; Pseudomonadota; Gammaproteobacteria; Enterobacterales; Enterobacteriaceae.